RNAcentral lists this long non-coding RNA (6145 nucleotides) under Homo sapiens (human). Its description in RNAcentral is "HSALNT0025936". Lineage: Eukaryota; Metazoa; Chordata; Mammalia; Primates; Hominidae. The record is from RNAcentral.
CCCCUUUGGUGGAUGCUGACACCUGCCAUAACACUGGCUGAACUUGAGGAGCAAUGGCAAAGUAGAUCCCAGGACAGCAUCUUUGGGGCCCGAAGGAUUUGUUCUUCAGGCACUUUCUAAAGCAAAACAACUGGAUUCUCUGCUGCACACCUGCGGUCCUAAUCUCAACAGCAGGGACCCUGCAAAGGUGUCCAGGCCAUGACUUUAGACGACGACAGGAUCCAGACAAAACUCCGCCACAGCCGCUGUGCCACAGAGACCUGAACAGGGAGCUUUGGGACCUGGGUUUUGUGUUCCCUUUCCUUCCCCACCAAAUGUAGUAUAUAUAUUUGGUUAUAGAAAUCGUCGUUCUGUGUCAACAUCUUCAUGAGUAACAGUGAGCCUCGUGUCCAACCUGACAUUCCCACUGUAGCUCAGAUGGCCUCUGUAAGAACCCGCCCUUCAGCUCAGGAUACUUCCUGGCGCUGAACGAUGAAUACUCCACAUGAGAACGACUGAAGGUUCGCGUUCGUCUUGCCUUUCUUUCGGGGACAAAACACCCCUUCCUUUCUGUGCAAUUUUCUGAGUAUUUUCUAAUUGUCCCAUUUGUCUCCCGAAUAUACACAUCAAAUUAGCUACAGGGCCCAGGCCUAUCUUACAGAUAAAUUCUUACGAAGCAUUAUUAUUUAUUAAAUUAUUUAUUACCAUUAAUUUAUUUAAGUGGAAUUAAACUGUGGCUGUGAAUGAAUUUUCUUUGUACCUAAUGAGAUGAUAUGCUAUAGUAGGAAGAACUGGAUUUCGAGGGAAAAAUCUAAGUGUACAAGUAAAGGACUCUUUAUAAGCCCUUGUUAGCGGAGUAAAACUGGGCAACUCAUAAUUCCUGUUUAUCUGCUGCCCUAUGAAAUGUGAAUAAUCAUGCGUCCCUUGCCCAUUUCAUAUGUUUUUUAUGAAGAUCCAAUGAAAAAGGAAGUUAUUUUCGUAUGACAAGUAUCAAUGUCAGGAAUUCCUAUGCAGAUGGCACCCUCUGACUUCCACAUCCUUUUUCAGCAUGUGGUUUUCAUCAUCCUUUCUCUGUGUGUUAUAUGGAGCCUGGCUUCGGUUUCGAAAGUUUUGCUGUGUUGGAAACACCACAUGUAAAUUCCAUCCAGUCAUAGAGGAGAGCUUCAUUCUUCCUCAUUUCAUUAAGUAUGAACUGGGUGAUCACCGAGAGCAAACCACUGUUAGGGGGAAUAAAAGGGGCUUAGGGGACUUCGCAAGCCGCUUUUGCUUUCCGAAAGUAUGACAUGUCAUGAUGAAGCUGUGCAUCCAGCUCUCCAUACCCUGCGCCCCAGUGACAGCGUGCGUCCACUAUUACCAAGGAGCUCUCCAUACCCUGCACCCGAGUGACAGCACGUGUCCACUAUUACCAAGCAGCUCUCCAUACCCUGCACCCGAGUGACAGCAUGUGUCCACUCUUACCAAGGAGCUCUCCAUACCCUGCACCCGAGUGACAGCACGUGUCCACUCUUACCAAGGAGCUCUCCAUACCCUGCACCCGAGUGACAGCACGUGUCCACUCUUACCAAGGAGCUCUCCAUACCCUGCACCCGAGUGACAGCACGUGUCCACUAUUACCAAGCAGCUCUCCAUACCCUGCACCCGAGUGACAGCACGUGUCCACUCUUACCAAGGAGCUCUCCAUACCCUGCACCCGAGUGACAGCACGUGUCCACUAUUACCAAGGAGCUCUCCAUACCCUGCACCCGAGUGACAGCACGUGUCCACUCUUACCAAGGAGCUCUCCAUACCCUGCACCCGAGUGACAGCACGUGUCCACUAUUACCAAGCAGCUCUCCAUACCCUGCACCCGAGUGACAGCACGUGUCCACUCUUACCAAGGAGCUCUCCAUACCCUGCACCCGAGUGACAGCACGUGUCCACUAUUACCAAGCAGCUCUCCAUACCCUGCACCCGAGUGACAGCACGUGUCCACUCUUACCAAGGAGCUCUCCAUACCCUGCACCCGAGUGACAGCACGUGUCCACUAUUACCAAGCAGCUCUCCAUACCCUGCACCCGAGUGACAGCACGUGUCCACUCUUACCAAGGAGCUCUCCAUACCCUGCACCCGAGUGACAGCACGUGUCCACUAUUACCAAGGAGCUCUCCAUACCCUGCACCCGAGUGACAGCACGUGUCCACUCUUACCAAGGAGCUCUCCAUACCCUGCACCCGAGUGACAGCACGUGUCCACUAUUACCAAGCAGCUCUCCAUACCCUGCACCCGAGUGACAGCACGUGUCCACUCUUACCAAGGAGCUCUCCAUACCCUGCACCCGAGUGACAGCACGUGUCCACUAUUACCAAGGAGCUCUCCAUACCCUGCACCCGAGUGACAGCACGUGUCCACUCUUACCAAGGAGCUCUCCAUACCCUGCACCCGAGUGACAGCACGUGUCCACUAUUACCAAGGAGCUCUCCAUACCCUGCACCCGAGUGACAGCACGUGUCCACUCUUACCAAGGAGCUCUCCAUACCCUGCACCCGAGUGACAGCACGUGUCCACUAUUACCAAGCAGCUCUCCAUACCCUGCACCCGAGUGACAGCACGUGUCCACUCUUACCAAGGAGCUCUCCAUACCCUGCACCCGAGUGACAGCACGUGUCCACUAUUACCAAGGAGCUCUCCAUACCCUGCACCCGAGUGACAGCACGUGUCCACUCUUACCAAGGAGCUCUCCAUACCCUGCACCCGAGUGACAGCACGUGUCCACUAUUACCAAGCAGCUCUCCAUACCCUGCACCCGAGUGACAGCACGUGUCCACUCUUACCAAGGAGCUCUCCAUACCCUGCACCCGAGUGACAGCACGUGUCCACUAUUACCAAGCAGCUCUCCAUACCCUGCACCCGAGUGACAGCACGUGUCCACUAUUACCAAGCAGCUCUCCAUACCCUGCACCCGAGUGACAGCACGUGACCACUCUUACCAAGGAGCUCUCCAUACCCUGCACCCGAGUGACAGCACGUGUCCACUAUUACCAAGGAGCUCUCCAUACCCUGCACCCGAGUGACAGCACGUGUCCACUAUUACCAAGCAGCUCUCCAUACCCUGCACCCGAGUGACAGCACGUGUCCACUCUUACCAAGGAGCUCUCCAUACCCUGCACCCGAGUGACAGCACGUGUCCACUAUUACCAAGGAGCUCUCCAUACCCUGCACCCGAGUGACAGCACGUGUCCACUCUUACCAAGGAGCUCUCCAUACCCUGCACCCGAGUGACAGCACGUGUCCAUUAUUAUCAAGGAGCUCUCCAUACCCUGCACCCGAGUGACAGCACGUGUCCACUCUUACCAAGGAGCUCUCCAUACCCUGCACCCGAGUGACAGCACGUGUCCACUAUUACCAAGCAGCUCUCCAUACCCUGCACCCGAGUGACAGCACGUGUCCACUCUUACCAAGGAGCUCUCCAUACCCUGCACCCGAGUGACAGCACGUGUCCACUAUUACCAAGCAGCUCUCCAUACCCUGCACCCGAGUGACAGCACGUGUCCACUAUUACCAAGCAGCUCUCCAUACCCUGCACCCGAGUGACAGCACGUGACCACUCUUACCAAGGAGCUCUCCAUACCCUGCACCCGAGUGACAGCACGUGUCCACUCUUACCAAGGAGCUCUCCAUACCCUGCACCCGAGUGACAGCACGUGUCCAUUAUUAUCAAGGAGCUCUCCACACCCUGCACCCGAGUGACAGCACGCAUCCACUAUUACCAAGGAGCUCUCCAUACCCUGCACCCGAGUGACAGCGUGUGUCCACUAUUACCAAGGAGCUCUCCAUACCCUGCACCCAAGUGACAGCACGUGUCCACUGUUACCAAGGAGCUCUCCACACCCUGCACCCGAGUGACAGCACGUGUCCACUCUUACCAAGGAGCUCUCCAUACCCUGCACCCGAGUGACAGCACGUGUCCACUCUUACCAAGGAGCUCUCCAUACCCUGCACCCGAGUGACAGCACGUGUCCAUUAUUAUCAAGGAGCUCUCCACACCCUGCACCCGAGUGACAGCACGCAUCCACUAUUACCAAGGAGCUCUCCAUACCCUGCACCGAGUGACAGCACGUGUCCAUUAUUAUCAAGGAGCUCUCCAUACCCUGCACCCGAGUGACAGCACACAUCCACUAUUACCAAGGAGCUCUCCAUACCCUGCACCCGAGUGACAGCACGCAUCCACUAUUACCAAGGAGCUCUCCAUACCCUGAACCCGAGUGACAGCAUGUGUCCACUAUUACCAAGGAGCUCUCCAUACCCUGCACCCGAGUGACAGCAGGUGUCCACUAUUACCAAGGAGCUCUCCAUACCCUGCACCCGAGUGACAGCAGGUGUCCACUAUUACCAAGGAGCUCUCCAUACCCUGCACCCGAGUGACAGCACGUGUCCAUUAUUACCAAGGAGCUCUCCAUACCCUGCACCCCAAUGACAGUGUGCGCCCACUAUUACCAAGGAGCAAGGUGAGAGGCCUCGGGGUCAGGGGCCACCAGGUGUGCAUCCUGACCUGGCUGUGACACGCGGGGGAGGCUGAUCUUCCAGGUGAGGGUGGAGACUUGGGGUGCCAUCCUGUGCCAUGCAUCGGAGCAGGGAGGAGACAAAUGUGGCUGUGGGACCCAGGAUGUGAGGUGAGCUGGAAAGCCCAGCCUGCACCUCGGCUUUUCCGUAAGCAAUGAAGUCGUGGAUGAUUUCUGGGCCAGGGGCAGCAGGGUCCUGAGGAAGAAUCUCAUAGGAGGGAGAGUGAGCAGGAGCUUGGUAUCCUCAGUACUGAACCAUGCUCAGAGAAAUCCAAUCCUCAUAAAAUCUAUGUAUAGAACGGUGUCAAAUCCAAUCGCCCAUGGUGAUUUUAGGUAUUAAAACAGAUUUUUUGGAGAGCGGUUGCUAAGUAGGCUGAAGGCUGCCUUAAGGAGCACGUACGUGUGUGGUUCCUGACGUGUGAGCCUUGGCGGGUGCACACACCUCACUAAAGCGGUGAAUUAAAGUGUGAAGGACACCAUAUCUAAGAAUUUAAAUGUCUAAGCACCUAAGGUGGACCUCAUGCAGAACAUCAUAUGGCAACCACCCUUAUCUAAGUUGUAAGCCCUGCAGCAGAUGCCUGAAACCAUGGACAGAAACAAACCCCAGCCAAGACCCUCUGCAUGGCACAGCUGGCAAUGACAAAAUGCAAGUGGGGCCACCCCACACUCACCCCACCCCCACCAAACCCUCUCAGCCUUGUGGCAGAGCCUGGCCUGCUCCCAUGGUUCAGCAGAGGGCAGAGUGUGUUGCUCUCAGCGAAUGGAACCCCUGCAUUCCCCUAAGGGAGUGGCAAAAGGCUGUCCAACAACUCAUGAAGAACUUGCUCCCUCAGCCUUUCUGAGGGUGAACUUGGGUCCGGUUCCAGUGGGUGGAUGGAAAUGAAGGAAUACCAUGAAGGCUUUCCUUCCCGGAGAUGGAACCACGGUGCUUCUUCAGGGGUGGUGCCCCAUUUCCCUUCUUUCCUACCUAAAAAGAAGAUAUGUUAUCUUGAAAUACAGCCACCAUUUUGCAAAUAUAAGGCAAUGAACAUGAGGAUAAAACCCACAAGCUAAGGAUGGUGCCACGGGAGGACGGAAAGAUACUGGGAGAAAACCACAGCAAACAGCCGGAUUUCUCGUUCAGUGAGAAGAGCAAGCCCUAUUCACUCAAACCACCGUAAGCUGAGAGGAUUUCACAGCACACACGGCCCCUCCUGGACGGAGUCCCCAGGUUUUCACAAUGCCAGCACCCCAGGGCCACACACGCUGACAAAAGGACCCACGGCAGGGCUUGGGCCACGCUGACAAGUGAGUUUUUCCUUUCUCCAUUUGUGUUUUCCCUGAGGUACAUACAUGCAGAAACCUAAAACUUAGGUAAACAUGUGCACAUUAGAAGUCUAUUGACUUAACAAAAGAAGUUCAACUAUAAAAAGAAAGCUUGAUACAAAGUGUUUAUUUUUAAAUUAUCUUGAGAGAAUUAAUCAAAUCUCGUAUCACUAAUCAAUAACCCAUGCAUCAAAGAACAGACCCUGUCACUCAGCUCGUCUGAAAAGACACUGCUUUUUCCUUUUCAGGUUUAAUAAUUUCACUAUUACUACACUAGGAAGUUAUUAACCCUAGGCAACACCAACAUAGAGCAAUAACCGAAG